RNAcentral lists this ribosomal RNA (719 nucleotides) under uncultured Staphylococcus sp. RNAcentral's name for it is "bacterial SSU rRNA". It matches the Rfam family "Bacterial small subunit ribosomal RNA", at positions 71 to 775 of the family's 1533-position model. Lineage: Bacteria; Bacillati; Bacillota; Bacilli; Caryophanales; Staphylococcaceae. The record is from RNAcentral.
AUAAGGAGCUUGCUCCUUUGACGUUAGCGGCGGACGGGUGAGUAACACGUGGGUAACCUACCUAUAAGACUGGGACAACUUCGGGAAACCGGAGCUAAUACCGGAUAAUAUGUUGAACUGCAUGGUUCAAUAGUGAAAGAUGGUUUUGCUAUCACUUAUAGAUGGACCCGCGCCGUAUUAGCUAGUUGGUGAGGUAAUGGCUCACCAAAGCAACGAUACGUAGCCGACCUGAGAGGGUGAUCGGCCACACUGGAACUGAGACACGGUCCAGACUCCUACGGGAGGCAGCAGUAGGGAAUCUUCCGCAAUGGGCGAAAGCCUGACGGAGCAACGCCGCGUGAGUGAUGAAGGUCUUAGGAUCGUAAAACUCUGUUAUUAGGGAAGAACAAACGUGUAAGUAACUGUGCACGUCUUGACGGUACCUAAUCAGAAAGCCACGGCUAACUACGUGCCAGCAGCCGCGGUAAUACGUAGGUGGCAAGCGUUAUCCGGAAUUAUUGGGCGUAAAGCGCGCGUAGGCGGUUUUUUAAGUCUGAUGUGAAAGCCCACGGCUCAACCGUGGAGGGUCAUUGGAAACUGGAAAACUUGAGUGCAGAAGAGGAAAGUGGAAUUCCAUGCGUAGCGGUGAAAUGCGCAGAGAUAUGGAGGAACACCAGUGGCGAAGGCGACUUUCUGGUCUGUAACUGACGCUGAUGUGCGAAAGCGUGGGGAUCAAACAG